AGAUCCAAGAGUAGCAAGAACGGAUGACGAAGGAGGCUUUUUAGGAGGGUCUUGCGAUUCCUAAGAGGCUCAGAAGUGGGAAGAAAAAAGACGAGCAAGUGGGGUAGAGACAGUCCCGAAAGGACAGCAAGAAGACUAGGUACUACAAGUGUGAUGUAGCAAGACAGUCUCAGCUGGAGUGUCUGCUUAAGAAAAAGAGAGGAGAAAGGAAAAACUCAGAUUUCAUUGGUUCAGUCACUG
Molecule: long non-coding RNA, 240 nt
Filed under: Elaeis guineensis (African oil palm)
Lineage: Eukaryota; Viridiplantae; Streptophyta; Magnoliopsida; Arecales; Arecaceae
Description: long non-coding RNA (EGUI_LNC013893)
Source: RNAcentral